Molecule: ribosomal RNA, 468 nt
Filed under: uncultured bacterium
Lineage: Bacteria
Description: partial 16S ribosomal RNA
Rfam family: Bacterial small subunit ribosomal RNA
Source: RNAcentral
GACGAACGCUGGCGGCGUGCUUAACACAUGCAAGUCGAACGGAAAGGCCCUGCUUUUGUGGGGUGCUCGAGUGGCGAACGGGUGAGUAACACGUGAGUAACCUGCCCUUGACUUUGGGAUAACUUCAGGAAACUGGGGCUAAUACCGGAUAGGAGCUCCUGCUGCAUGGUGGGGGUUGGAAAGUUUCGGCGGUUGGGGAUGGACUCGCGGCUUAUCAGCCUGUUGGUGGGGUAGUGGCUUACCAAGGCUUUGACGGGUAGCCGGCCUGAGAGGGUGACCGGCCACAUUGGGACUGAGAUACGUCCCAGACUCCUACGGGAGGCAGCAGUGGGGAAUAUUGCACAAUGGGCGGAAGCCUGAUGCAGCAACGCCGCGUGCGGGAUGACGGCCUUCGGGUUGUAAACCGCUUUCGCCUGUGACGAAGCGUGAGUGACGGUAAUGGGUAAAGAAGCACCGGCUAACUACGUG